This 250-nucleotide ribosomal RNA is filed under the name uncultured bacterium. RNAcentral describes it as "partial small subunit ribosomal RNA". It matches the Rfam family "Bacterial small subunit ribosomal RNA", at positions 26 to 287 of the family's 1533-position model. The record is from RNAcentral.
AGGACGAACGCUGGCGGCGUGCUUAACACAUGCAAGUCACGGGGGCCCGCAAGGGCAACCGGCGAACGGGUGCGUAACACGUGAACAACCUGCCCUCGUGUGGGGGAUAGCCGUGCUAACGCGCGGGUAAUACCGCAUACGUUCCUCUGGGGGAGUCCCUGGGGGAGGAAAGCUCCGGCGCACGGGGAGGGGUUCGCGGCCUAUCAGCUAGUUGGCGGGGUAAUGGCCCACCAAGGCGACGACGGGUAGC